AUUAAAUGUUUUAAAUUGUGGACAUAAUUGCUCUUUAAUAAUUUCAAUUUGGGAGCCUCCAUGGGGGAAAUCCCCCGCAAAUAGUGACAGUUGGCAGGUAUGAUGAUUGUUCCAUUUUCACUCUGCUAGUGGCUGAAUAUCCUGGUAAAACUACAUACAGCUCAUUCUAAUUCACAAUAAGCGAGUCCUCAAAGUUUGUUCAGAAGGCGAAUCCAUCAAGAACUUAGUUUUGUCAUCUUUAUUUUGUCUAAUAACAUAUAAUGUAUCCGGCUUUUCUCUUAACAGCCUGAAAUAUAAAUAAAACAGCAGCAGACACAAGAAAUUGUUGGUAGAUUGUAAGGGGAGGUGGGUGGGUUUUUGAAACUUCCACUAAUCUAGAGCGAAGUCCAAAUGUGAGGCUUAAGUCACGUGAUAUUUUGAAGCGAGAUGCUGAUCCGAAUGAUGAAAUAUGUCUAUAAAGGAAAAUAAAUACACCAAUAAAAUCUUUUUCAUUAAUUUUGUUUAUUAUAUAAAUGAGAUAAACCUUAUUAUUUCACUUUCUUUAACAGUUACAGCAUCACCUGGUUUUUAUUGUUUUUUUUGUAGCUAUGUUAAAUUAGGUAUUCGAACUUGUACAAGUUGAUUAACCGUUUCUUGACAGCAAUGAUCAACAUCAUAUAAAUAUUACAUUAUUAAAAAUUUGCCAUACUGUAAAUGUGCCCGGCGUUUAACAUUUGCGCCGAUAUUUUCUUUCAAGUGCGCCGAUUUUUUCUUUCACUUGCACCGAUUUUUUCUUUCAUUUGUGCCGAUUUUGUACAGGUAAAUUACUGGUGAAUGUUAUUUGUUAUUUAUCAUUAUAAAGCUCUUCCGUUUGGCUGUCCAUAUUUUAUGAAUUGUCAAUUAUAACAUAUACAUAACUUCCCCCUGCUCACCGUGGGAAGAGCUGUUAAUUGUAAUGUGAAUGAAACGAUUAUAGACCGUUAUUCGACAGUUUUUGGGAUACGAUUGCUUUUAAGCAAUCUGUAGACUUAUACCAUUGACUCAGGGCCAUGCCCUCACGUCAACCGUCUUAUUCUAAACAUCAAGGAACAUCUCAUAUUCUUGAGAUUGUCUUGGUUUAAAUGGUAUAAGAAAAAAAAAAGGAUUGAAUUAAAACAACUGUCCUAUAAUGUUCUUCUCAUAAUCUUCAUGUUUCGAUAUUUCCCUUCACUUGUAUGCGUGUUUGUAACAACACGGAAAAUCAGAAUUAAGCAGUAUUUAUAUUUAGUGUUUUUAUA
Molecule: long non-coding RNA, 1256 nt
Filed under: Mytilus galloprovincialis (Mediterranean mussel)
Lineage: Eukaryota; Metazoa; Mollusca; Bivalvia; Mytilida; Mytilidae
Source: RNAcentral